UGCUCAGCAUGCUGCUUUCACCCGUCCAACUGCUGCACCUGCUCCGGAGCCACCAUGCUUUGGGGCUGGGGUUUCCACCUCGAGACCCCAGGCUCUCAGAGCCGUGUUUCUGCAGUGGUUUCUGAAGGUUAAGUGGUUUGCAUCAGAAGGACCUGGGGAGCUUGCUCAAAUCCCCAUCCUGAGUGCUACCUGGGCCUCCUAAAAGUGAGCUCUGAGGCUGGGUGCUGGAAUUUUAAACAGAUGCUCAUGUGAUUUUUGCCCCUAACUUUGUAUUAUGAUCAUUUUCAAUCACACACACACACACACACACACACAGCUGAAAAAGGAAGAUGACCACCCAGGUACCCACCACCUACAUCCAACAGUUAAUACCAUUUGCCAUAUUUGCUAAUGUGCACACGUGUGUGUGUGUGUGUGUGUGUGUGUGUGUGUAUUUGAACCAUUCAGGGCCAACUGCAGACACCACAGUGCUUCGCCUCUAAAUACCUCAGCUGCAUCUCCAGAGAACAAGAGCAUUCUCCUCCAUAACUCCAAUGCCAUUUUCACGUUUGAGAAAAUGUUAACAAUAAUGGAAUAAUAUCAUCGUAUAGCCCACAUUCGUAUUUCCCCAGUUCUCAAAAUGUCUUUCUUAGCUUGUCGUCUCUAGCCAGGGCCCAGGCGCCCCCAGGCGAUUCUUAAGCUGAAGUUUGAGGCUGCCUCCAGGUGGGCUGACUUCCAAGGGUGCGAGCUCACCACCCAGUGCUCCUUCUUAUGGUAUGUGCAGUUUGAAGGAGGGCGUCCCAGAAACCGCCGAAGUGGCAUCCCUAAAAGGAACACGCAGCUGGUGGAGUGCUUUCACACCCCAUGCUGGGCCGUGGGGAGCACACACACAGAAGGGACAGCAGAGGGUCCCUCCGGCACUCCCUCUACCGAUUUGCUUACUGCGCACAGGCAGCCUUCUGCUUAGUCUCCAGACAAAGCGGCUGCUCCAGGGGCAAAAGGGGAGAGUGGUGAAGCGGCUGUAUUUGGCCAUCACCAGACCCCAGGAGCUUGGAGCUCUCACUGGGAGGUCUGCGUGGAGCAGAGCUGCCGUCCUCCCCAACCCGACCAUCUCGGAGCGCUCAGGCUUUGUCAGUGGCAAGGACCAGAGCCACAGGUGACAGGCUCAGUCGGCACAUUGUCAGGGAGAGAAGGGACCCAGGAGACUUGGCGUUUUCAAGACAGGACUCCGCAGUGUGAUCCAGGGCACACAGCUAGAGCCAUCCCUUCAGUGCUCUGGGAAUGUGAGCCCGUUUGUCCCCAGAAGGGCUGCUGACAGCCCAGAGACUGCCCUCCACUGCCAGCCCUCCACCUGUUGCCCUUGGAGAUGGGCAGUGGGAGGAAGAGGUGCACCCAGAUGUGCCAAGAGCCCGACACACUUCCCCUGGCUUGAGGAGCUAGUGACCUUUUACAUCGAGAUGCAUCUACAGGAGAAGACAGUGUCCAUGAGAUCAUCUACACUGAAGGUAGGCCCUGCCUGGGUACGAAAUGACACACAGUGGGCUGAGUGUUCACAUACAGCCCCUUAGCCAGCCUGGACGGGAACGCCAGGCCCACUGGUCACAGGGCCUUCAGGCCAGUGGGACCUUAGAGACCAAGAGCCGGGGGUCCUGGGCUUUGUCCGGCCUCCAGCCCUGGCUGCUUAAGUCAAUGCUACCAGCCCUCUCUCCCCCAAUAACAUCCCCUCAACAUUUCCUCAGUGCCUCCACCUCUGUGGCCUCAGGGACUUCUUGCUGUAAACCCAGGGAACAGGAAAAGCUGCAAUUAUCCCCAUUUAAAAUAGGGAAAGUCUCAGGAGGAAAGCGGCCUGGCCAGCUUCCCACAUGUUUUGUGACAAAACAGCUGUGGUCCCAGCUCCUUCCACACCCACAUGCUGCCUCCUCUUUCCCAGGCUUUCUCUCCCAUGUCUCUCCUCCUCUCCUGUGCCCCUUCCUCUGUGUCACAUUUUAUGUACUAAAGGGAGAAAAACAUGAUCUGCCAACAUAAGGAUACAGAAAUACUUGGCACUCUGGGUUUCCCGGGAUUUGGGCCCCCAGACCUUUGUCUUCCACAGUCACCCCCAAGUCCUGUGUGCAAGUGACCUCAAAGGGUCCCCAGAGCUGAAGAUAGCCGAGGCACUCACCUCCAUACUGCCACCAGAAGAGGAGGGGGAGGAGGAUGGGAUGAAGGAGAAGAGUGGGACAGGAAAAGGAAGGUGGACAAAGGGCCUUAAGGAAGGUUGAUUAAGGACAAGGCAGGGGGCGCUUGGGUGGCUCAGCCGGUUAAGUGUCCAACUCUUGAUUUUGGCUCAGGUCAUGAUCUCAUGGACCGUGAGAUCAAGCCCCCUUCGGGCUCUGUACUGACAGCAUGGAACCUGCUUGGGACUCUCUCUCCCUCGCUCUGUGCCCCUCCAAUGCUCACACCCU
Molecule: long non-coding RNA, 2423 nt
Organism: Neofelis nebulosa (Clouded leopard)
Lineage: Eukaryota; Metazoa; Chordata; Mammalia; Carnivora; Felidae
Exons: 2
Source: RefSeq, a predicted model, not a curated record